GUUGUAUAGUUAAGUGACUAAGCGUACAAGGUGGAUGCCUUGGCAAUCAGAGGCGAAGAAGGACGUGCUAAUCUGCGAAAAGCUUGGAUGAGUCGAUAAGAGGCGUUUAAUCCAAGAUAUCCGAAUGGGGAAACCCAGUGGGUGAAGAAUCCACUAUCAACAAGUGAAUACAUAGCUUGUUGAGGCAAACCGGGAGAACUGAAACAUCUAAGUACCCCGAGGAAAAGAAAUCAACCGAGAUUUCGUCAGUAGCGGCGAGCGAAAGCGAAAGAGCCUGUUAAUGAUAACAGCAGAGAUAGAGGAAUAAGCUGGGAAGCUUAGCGACACAGGGUGAUAGCCCCGUACUCAAAAUCCAGGCUGUGGUACUAAGUUAACGAGAAGUAGGGCGGGACACGUGAUAUCCUGUUUGAAGAUGGGGGGACCAUCCUCCAAGGCUAAAUACUCCUGAUUGACCGAUAGUGAACCAGUACUGUGAAGGAAAGGCGAAAAGAACCCCGGUGAGGGGAGUGAAAUAGAACCUGAAACCUUGUACGUACAAGCAGUGGGAGCCUGAAAGGGUGACUGCGUACCUUUUGUAUAAUGGGUCAGCGACUUAUAUUUUGUAGCGAGGUUAACCGAAUAGGGGAGCCGAAGGGAAACCGAGUCUUAACUGGGCGACUAGUUGCAAGGUAUAGACCCGAAACCCGGUGAUCUAGCCAUGGGCAGGUUGAAGGUUGGGUAACACUAACUGGAGGACCGAACCGACUAAUGUUGAAAAAUUAGCGGAUGACUUGUGGCUGGGGGUGAAAGGCCAAUCAAACCGGGAGAUAGCUGGUUCUCCCCGAAAUCUAUUUAGGUAGAGCCUUGAGCGGACACCUUUGGGGGUAGAGCACUGUUUCGGCUAGGGGUCCAUCCCGGAUUACCAACCCGAUGCAAACUACGAAUACCAAAGAGUGAUACUCAGGAGACACACGGCGGGUGCUAACGUCCGUCGUGGAGAGGGAAACAACCCAGACCGCCAGCUAAGGUCCCAAAGUCUAUAUUAAGUGGGAAACGAAGUGGGAAGGCUUAGACAGCUAGGAUGUUGGCUUAGAAGCAGCCAUCAUUUAAAGAAAGCGUAAUAGCUCACUAGUCGAGUCGGCCUGCGCGGAAGAUGUAACGGGGCUGAAAUAUAGCACCGAAGCUGCGGCAUCAGUAGCAAUACUGUUGGGUAGGGGAGCGUUGUGUAAGCGGAUGAAGGUGUGUUGAGAAGCAUGCUGGACGUAUCACAAGUGCGAAUGCUGACAUAAGUAACGAUAAAACGGGUGAAAAACCCGUUCGCCGGAAGACCAAGGGUUCCUGUCCAACGUUAAUCGGGGCAGGGUGAGUCGGCCCCUAAGGCGAGGCUGAAGAGCGUAGUCGAUGGGAAACAGGUUAAUAUUCCUGUACUUGGAUAAACUGCGAUGUGGGGACGGAGUAGGUUAGGUUAUCGCACUGUUGGAUAUGUGCGUUUAAGUUGGUAGGUGGGAAGUUUAGGCAAAUCCGGACUUCCUUAACACUGAGAGAUGAUGACGAGGCUCUACGGAGCUGAAGUAACUGAUACCACACUUCCAGGAAAAGCCACUAAGC
Molecule: ribosomal RNA, 1587 nt
Filed under: Haemophilus haemolyticus
Lineage: Bacteria; Pseudomonadati; Pseudomonadota; Gammaproteobacteria; Pasteurellales; Pasteurellaceae
Description: partial 23S ribosomal RNA
Rfam family: Bacterial large subunit ribosomal RNA
Source: RNAcentral